AAGGAAUAUUGGUCAAUGGACGCAAGUCUGAACCAGCCAUGCCGCGUGAAGGAUGAAGGUCCUCUGGAUUGUAAGCUUCUUUUAUCUGGGACGAAAACGGGAUUUUUAUCUCAAUUGACGGUACCAGAGGAAUAAGCACCGGCUAACUCCGUGCCAGCAGCCGCGGUAAUACGGAGGGUGCGAGCGUUAUCCGGAUUUACUGGGUUUAAAGGGUGCGUAGGUGGGCUUAUAAGUCAGUGGUGAAAUCUCCGAGCUUAACUUGGAAACUGCCGUUGNGACUAUAGGUCUUGAAUUAUCUGGAGGUAAGCGGAAUAUGUCAUGUAGCGGUGAAAUGCUUAGAUAUGACAUAGAACACCAAUUGCGAAGGCAGCUUACUACAUAUAAAUUGACGCUGAGGCACGAAAGCGUGGGGAUCAAACA
Molecule: ribosomal RNA, 420 nt
Filed under: uncultured bacterium
Lineage: Bacteria
Description: bacterial SSU rRNA
Rfam family: Bacterial small subunit ribosomal RNA
Source: RNAcentral